GUUUACGGUCAUGCCACCCUAAACAAGCCUGAUGUCUGAUCUCGGAAGCUAAGCAGGGUCGGAUCUGGUUAUUACUUGGAUGGGAGACCACCUAGGAAGACCAGGUGCUGUAGGCA
This 116-nucleotide ribosomal RNA is filed under the name Pteropus alecto (black flying fox). Lineage: Eukaryota; Metazoa; Chordata; Mammalia; Chiroptera; Pteropodidae. RNAcentral also lists the same sequence under 1 other name. The record is from RNAcentral.